RNAcentral lists this ribosomal RNA (422 nucleotides) under uncultured bacterium. RNAcentral describes it as "bacterial SSU rRNA". It matches the Rfam family "Bacterial small subunit ribosomal RNA", at positions 355 to 774 of the family's 1533-position model. The record is from RNAcentral.
UGAGGAAUAUUGGGCAAUGCCCGCAAGGGUGACCCAGCAACGCCGCGUGGAGGAUGAAUGUCGUAAGAUUGUAAACUCCUGUUAGAGGGGAAGAAUAGUACCGGUUGGACCGGUAUAUGACUGUACCCUCAGAGAAAGCCCCGGCUAACUACGUGCCAGCAGCCGCGGUAAUACGUAGGGGGCAAGCGUUGUCCGGAUUUACUGGGUGUAAAGGGCGCGCAGGCGGGAUAAAAAGUCAGUGGUGAAAUCCUACAGCUUAACUGUAGAACUGCCUUUGAUACUUUUAUCCUUGAGUUCGGGAGAGAGAGACGGAAUUCCAGGUGUAGUGGUGCAAUACGUAGAUAUCUGGAAGAACACCAGUUGCGAAGGCGGUCUCUUGGUCCAACACUGACGCUGAGGCGCGAAAGCGUGGGGAGCAAACA